This is an RNA transcript of Hordeum vulgare subsp. vulgare (domesticated barley), 2634 nucleotides long. It is a transcript of the gene named probable LRR receptor-like serine/threonine-protein kinase At5g59680, with no coding region annotated. Lineage: Eukaryota; Viridiplantae; Streptophyta; Magnoliopsida; Poales; Poaceae. The record is from RefSeq and is a predicted model, not a curated record. The transcript has 11 exons.
AUGAACGCCAUCGGCGAUAACAUUUUUUCGUUAGCGCUAAUUGCCCACCCCACGUCGUCUCACUCUGGCGGUCAAUCCCCGAUCGCCCCGCUCGCCCGCCUCCUCCUGGUCGCCCCGCUCGCCCCCGCUCGUCCGCCUCCCCCCCGGUACCUGCAGGCGAACGCGACGCACGCGCUGGUCCUCGUCGACCGGAGCAACUUGGGCAUCAGCGGCGCCGCGCUGGUCAGGUACCCGGAGGACCCGUACGACCGCGUGUGGAUCCCGUGGAGCGAGAUCGACUCGAAUGAGUGGGCGGAUAUCUCGACGCCGGAGAAGGUGAAGGAGCUGGCGGACCUCCGCUUCAACGCGCCGUCCGCCGUGAUGCAGACCGCCAUCGCGCCGCGCAACGGCUCCAGGUCGGCGUCGUCAAGGACCAUCGAGCUGUCGUGGGACGCGGCGCCGAACCACGCCUACCCGGACCCCGAGGUCAUCGGCAUCGUGUACUUCGCGGAGCUGGAGGUCGUGGCCGGGGGCGCCGCGCGCCAGUUCGAGAUGGCCAUCAACGGCAAGCUCUGGAGCAAGGCCCCCUUCACGCCGCAGCACCUCAUCUGCGACGCCUUCUUCAACAGCGAGGCCCACCGGGGUUCGGCGGCCACUACAACAUCACCCUCAAGGCGACGGCGAACUCCACGCUGGUGCCGACCAUCAACGCCGCCGAGUUCUUCUCCGUCGUCUCCACGGCCAACGUCGCAACGGACACCAAGGAUGUUGUGGCCAUGGCUGCGAUCAAGGCAAAGUAUGAGGUGAAGAAGAACUGGGCGGGUGACCCAUGCGCUCCCAAGAAUCUCGUUUGGGAAGGGUUGAACUGCAGCUAUGCCAUGUCCAUGCCUCCUAGAAUCACAAGAUUAAAUAUGUCAUUUGGCGGUUUGAGCGGUAGCAUACAAUCUCAUUUCGCCAACCUCAAAGCAAUCAAGUAUUUGGACUUGUCAUACAACAACUUUACACGAUCAAUUCCUAAUGCUCUUUCUGAACUACCAUUCCUCGUGGUGCUAGACUUGACUGGCAACCAGCUUAAUGGGUCCAUCCCCUCCGGGCUUAUUUUUCGGGAAAACGCAAAGGUUUGCGUUUCUUUUGAUUGAAAAGGGAGAGAAUAUGGACAGUACAUGCCUACGAGAAGGAGGCUACAGGGGCUCAAAAGAAAAAAUGGAAAAGGAAAGAAAGGCGUGCACAAGACUAGUGAACAUCCCAGAUACGGCAAAAAUCCAAACCUUUGCAGCAACGGUUCCUCUUGGGAGCCCACCAAAAAGAAGAGCAAAUCUAUGCUUGCCGUGUACAUUGUUGUUCCAAUACUUGCAGUUGUGGUGAUAGGAGCACUGGCAAUGCUACUUCUUCUCAUACUGAGAAAAAAGAAAGGAUCAAGAAAGGGCAGUGUGAAGCCACAGAACGAGGCCAGUCGCGUGCAUUCGCAGUGGCGGAACGGCGACACUCACAGCGUGCUGCAGGUGGACCACCGUCGGUUCACGUACAAGGACCUGCAGGUCAUGACGAACAACUUCAAGACGGUGCUCGGCCGGGGAGGAUUCGGCUCCGUGUACGACGGCUUCUUGGCGGAUGGCACGCAGGUAGCAGUCAAGCUGCGGUCUGAGUCCUCCAGUCAAGGCAUUAGAGAGUUCCUCACAGAGGCUCAGACCUUGACAAAGAUUCACCAUAAGAAUCUUGUGUCAAUGGUUGGUUACUGCAAGGAUGGGGAGUACAUGGCGCUUGUCUACGAGCAUAUGUCUGAAGGAAAUCUGGAGGACAAACUCAGAGGACAAAGCGGGCAUACAUCAGGAAUAAAUUCAGCUUAGGUAAGAGUAUCAAGAGGAUGAACUCGCUUGACGGCUUGUACCGCAUGUUCCCUACACAUGGCGAGACCCCACCGAUGCGGUGUCUAACCUGUAGAAAUAGUACCCACAAAAUCAAGAGGGUGGGUGGAUACAAAUCAUUGUCCAACAUUCAUCUCCCUGUUAACUGUUUUAGUCUGAAUUAUGAUGCUACUGUACUAUAUAUCAUUCAUUCAGAUUCAAACUUCCCGCGAUUGCAUACACUGAUUGUAUAUACAUUGUGUUAAUUAAUUAGUGACACCCUCAGCUGCUUCAUUUCACGGGCCGCAAAUGAGUUAGACAGAGAGGACAUUGCGGAAGAGGAGGUCACUGCUAUGCAAGUGGAGACAUGGAAAGAGUAGAAGAAAGUUUGCACGGUUCAGAGAGAGGGAGCAAAAUAAAUACAACUAUUUGGUGAAAAACAAAACAUAGAAUAAGUGAUGCACAUACUUUGCUUGUUCUGUGACAACCACUUGUAUUUUGCUAUGUUUUUUAAACUGAUUAAAUGAUGUCUUUUUGUUUUUUUCUGAAUUAUUUUCAUCAUUGUCUUGUAGGAUAGGGCUGUUAGUAGGGCAGAGAAAAAAAAACUACCACUUGUUCAUGAUAAACGCAUUUCUGGCAUUACACGCUCACAUCUGAGUGCUUGACAGAAAAUAAAGGAAAAUUAGUAGUGUCAUUCAGAUACCUUGAUGUGGGAUGCUAUCUUGUUUGGCAUGCAUUUCUACACAAAUUUGUAUUGAAUUUAUGAAUGCAUUGUUUUGUAUUGUUAUGAGUAUGUGCCCACUUGACUUCA